RNAcentral lists this non-coding RNA (135 nucleotides) under Pasteurellaceae bacterium 15-036681. RNAcentral describes it as "Molybdenum/Tungsten riboswitch aptamer (Moco RNA motif)". It matches the Rfam family "Molybdenum/Tungsten riboswitch aptamer (Moco RNA motif)". The record is from Rfam by way of RNAcentral. RNAcentral also lists the same sequence under 1 other name. Lineage: Bacteria; Pseudomonadati; Pseudomonadota; Gammaproteobacteria; Pasteurellales; Pasteurellaceae.
AUUCAACCCCGAUACCGAGCUUGUGAUCCUAAGUCGAGAGAUAUGGUAGCAAAGCCUGCAACUCUGAUUGCACAAGGUAUAAACAGAAAUGAUUAUGCCCCUCCCGUUUAAGAAAGGUAUCGUAAUUUAACUUUG